Long non-coding RNA from Vespa mandarinia (Asian giant hornet), 1122 nucleotides. Lineage: Eukaryota; Metazoa; Arthropoda; Insecta; Hymenoptera; Vespidae. The record is from RefSeq and is a predicted model, not a curated record.
UUUCCUGUACAUAUUUGAAGUCUUGAUAUUGUAAGUUAUUACAAAACUUAUUUUCAAUAUUAAGCAAUUGUAAAACUGCUUAUCUGUAAAGUAUAUUUCUUUGAAUAUAAAUUAAAAAAUAAAAAGGCUUUUGCAGUUCAAUGCACGAAAUAUGUUUUAAACAUUUAUUAUGAAAAUAUUAAAAAAUUUACGUUGGACUGAUGAAGGAUAAAAGACGAAAUUAAUUUUUAUGGAUGAUAAAAGUGAUCUAAGGAAUCAAUUAUAUAUGUGUCCUAUGGAUAUGAAUUAAUCAAUUCAGUGCUUGACAUCUCAACCUUUUUUUUUAUUUAUUUCUCGUUGGAGCGUUACAUUCUGUGACACGUACGUAUAUGUAUUAAGUUGUUAAUGCGAUCGAUAUCGAAGGUCGACCAGUUUAAGGUUGUUGUGCCGAUAUCUUUAGAGAACCUUGACUGCUCCCAAUCCAUUAAGACCCAAACCGUUGAGACCAAGAGGUGCGCCUAGACCGGCAGCUAAGGCUGGUCCAGCAAGAGCAGUUGUCAAUCCAGGAGCUAAUAGACCGGGUGCGGCAAUAGCGGCAGUAGUAAGAGGUGCUGUUUAUUGUUGUGAUUGUUGAGAAGAAAUGAAAAGGAAAAAAAAUAACAUGGAUUAAUUAAUGUUAUAUGGAAAGAAGCAAGAAAAAAAAGAGAGAAAUUAAAUUUGUGCGUUUUAAAGAAGUGCAAGUAUUUGCAGAAAAAAAAAGAAAAGAAAGAAAAAUACAUCAAUUGUUGCAAGCAAAGAUCGAACGGCUAAAAAGCGUCUCGAAGUAUAACGAUUACAUUCAUUCUAGCGUCUAGCCGUCUAUAGCGCCUAGGAAGCAGAUCGAUAAAUGCGUAACUUUUAUUGAUAGUAAUGUAUUACACGAUACAGAUAGAUCAAGAAUUAGUGUGAAAAGAAAGGAAUGAUAGGAGAAAAGUGCUAUCUAUAUUCACGGGAUGCGACGUCAUUUACAAGAAUUCCACGAGAUAUAAAAUCUGUUCCAUUGUCAAAAAGUGUAGUACGUAGUGCCCAAUCGCGGAGGAAUGUUUUAUUAUUUUUGUUUGCAUGCGUGAGUGCUUUUAAAACAUAUUAAACGAAAACGAAAAA